AACGAACGCUGGCGGCAGGCCUAACACAUGCAAGUCGAGCGGACCUUUCGGGGUCAUCCGCGGACUGGUGAGUAACGCGUGGGAAUAUUCCCUUCUCUACGGAAUAGUCCUGGGAAACUGGGGGUAAUACCGUAUACGCCCUUUUGGGGCAAGAUUUAUCGGGGAAGGAUUAGCCCGCGUUGGAUUAGGUAGUUGGUGGGGUAAUGGCCUACCAAGCCGAAGAUCCAUAGCUGGUUUGAGAGGAUGAUCAGCCACACUAGGACUGAGACACGGCCCAGACUCCUACGGGAGGCAGGAGUGGGGAAUCUUAGACAAUGGGGGCAACCAUGAUCUAGCCAUGCCGCGUGAGUGAUGAAGGACUUAGGGUUGUAAAGCUCUUUCAGCUGGGAAGAUAAUGACGGUACCAGCAGAAGAAGCCCCGGCUAACUCCGUG
Molecule: ribosomal RNA, 433 nt
Filed under: uncultured bacterium
Lineage: Bacteria
Description: partial 16S ribosomal RNA
Rfam family: Bacterial small subunit ribosomal RNA
Source: RNAcentral